GACAGAGGUGCCAAGCGUUAGGCGGAAUCACUGGGCUUAAAGCGCGUGUAGGCGGCCCUGCAAGUCGGAUGUGAAAUCCCACGGCUCAACCGUGGAAGUGCAUUCGAAACUGCAGGGCUAGAGUCCUGGAGAGGAAGGUGGAAUGCUUGGUGUAGAGGUGAAAUUCGUAGAUAUCAAGCGGAACACCGGUGGCGAAGGCGGCCUUCUGGACAGUGACUGACGCUGAGACGCGAAAGCGUGGGGAGCAAACAGG
Molecule: ribosomal RNA, 253 nt
Filed under: uncultured bacterium
Lineage: Bacteria
Description: partial 16S ribosomal RNA
Rfam family: Bacterial small subunit ribosomal RNA
Source: RNAcentral